UCGCCUGUUUAUCAAAAACAUGUCUGUUUGGAGGUUUAAAGAGUCUAGCCUGCCCACUGAGUAGAAAGUAGUUAAAGGGCCGCGGUAUUUUGACCGUGCAAAGGUAGCAUAAUCAUUAGUCUCUUAAUUGGAGGCGUGUCUGCCCGGUUGGACAAAGAAAAAGCUGUCUUUAUAAUAUAAUUUGAAUUUAACUUUUAAGUGAAAAGGCUUAAAUAGGCCAGGGGGACGAUAAGACCCUAUAAAACUUUAUAUGAGGUUAAGUUUGUUCAAAAUUAAUUAUAAAGAGCUGAGUUAAUAAUUGUAUUUUGUUGGGGCGACAUAGAUAUAAGUAUUUAUAGUAACUGUUUAAGUAUAAUACUAUAGAUUUGUGAGUUAUAAAAUAAAUGAUCCUUUUUAAAGAUUAAAAGAUUAAGUUACUUUAGGGAUAACAGCGUAAUUUUUUUUGAGAGCCCGUAUCGAAAAGAAAGUUUGCGACCUCGAUGUUGAAUUAAAAUAUCUAUAUAAUGUAGUUGUUAUAAAAGAAGGUCUGUUCGACCUUUAAAUUUUUACGUGAUCUGAGUUCAGACCAGAC
Molecule: ribosomal RNA, 571 nt
Filed under: Trichodactylus fluviatilis
Lineage: Eukaryota; Metazoa; Arthropoda; Malacostraca; Decapoda; Trichodactylidae
Description: partial 16S ribosomal RNA
Rfam family: Archaeal large subunit ribosomal RNA
Source: RNAcentral